Molecule: long non-coding RNA, 1823 nt
Organism: Haliotis rufescens (red abalone)
Lineage: Eukaryota; Metazoa; Mollusca; Gastropoda; Lepetellida; Haliotidae
Exons: 4
Source: RefSeq, a predicted model, not a curated record
AAAGCACACUUCGUUGUGAACUGCAGUGUUAUAGUGAGAACCUUUGACACAGAAGAAAAUUAUUUCUAAAAUAUGUUCUAAAAUAACGUAUCGCUUUACCGUAUGCAUGUACAUAGUAUAACGUUAGUUGUUAUCUAUUAGAUUUUUGAUCCCCGUACAUUGCUAAAACUGCACAAUGCGACACCCGGGUAUACGACUAUUAAAAAACCUCCAAUACAACAAUGUUGAUAAACAAAGAUUAUUUGUGAUAUCUACAAGCAGUGUCACAAUAAAACUGAAGAUUUUGAUUUUGUAUCGCCUAUGAAAAGUAAUUUAUUCUGCAAACAUGCAGUGCCACGGAAACUCUAACUAUCUUUUAUUAAGAAGCUGCAUAUGUGUUAUUUCGUUUAAACAAUUUGUAACUACAGUUUGAAUCCCCUUUUUAACAUGGACAUAUUAUACACUUGAUGAGAUUGUUUGCGCGGCUCAGUUCUCAGUUCACAUGUUUGACAAAUGGCACUAUAAAACGUUGGUAAAAAUAUCAAAAACAGCCUUUUUAAUUUGGAAUAGUAUAUGCCCAAUGACGGUUUGGCAGAAACCACAAAAAAGUAUAGAUUGUCAAUAACAUGUCGCACAUACCGGGCCCUAGUUCAAGAUCAAAGAUAAUUGCCGCCUUGGAAUGUCUAGCGGAAUGAUUGACACCUGUUAUCACUGUAAAUGUCUUGUCAAGGCUUGACUAACGAUGACUCAACGCCAAUUUAAAGAGGACAUUACCACAUGUUUAUUGAUAAACAUUGAGAAUAACCAUAGACAGUAUGGCGCCGCUUAAUUUGACUGUCUGCCGCUUUCACACUGAUUUGACAAUAUGCAUAGGUAACACGCGUUACUGCCGCAUGAGUUUGUUAUUUUCUAUGAUGGGUAGUGAUACGUGUGCGAUUUAUUUGCAAUGAAACUUAGCCAAUUCUCUAUGACAUCGGCAUUUGUGCACGGGAACCACGGCGUGUAUGUUUAUUUCUCUCAAAUCGUAAACGUAAUUAUUAAUUACUACAGUCACCUACUACAAUAUUUUGGGUUAUUUGUCAUUUGGAUAUUUUCUUAAUAACUUAAGACAAAUAAUUGAUAUAUGAAUGAUUUAUAUUAAUAUGAAUUCAGGCUCUUGAAAUAGAGUUUAUUAACAUCAUUCCUCUAUUUGGCUGGCAUUUUGAGUAGAUUGUUCUGACUAAAUCUAGUUCCACCAUGCAAACUACAUGUUUUCCUCUGAAUUUAUAAUCAGUAUCUCUUCAAUUGUAAUUAUUCUACCUGCGUUUUAUGUUAUAAGAAAACCGAACAGUUAUCAUCAUUCGAUAGGACAAAGGCUUAACUAUGCUUCUUACCCAAACUACCAAACUAAGUAUUCAUUUGUGUGUGACCAUAUCCCUACAAACACGCUAAAACCAAGCAAUCCCAUUUCACUUACAUAUUGUUUGAAACACAUGCUAGUCAAUCGCAAAAUACUGAUUCGCAUUUUAGAUUCAAGGUAAGCAAUGCAUUAUAUACUUACAACAUAUUUAUCAUGUUCAAUUUAAGGAUCCGAAUACCAGAUCGACGAGGAGGACAAGAGUGACACAUCGUCGGAAUUUGCCACCAAUUACCAGAGUCCAGUCAAGCGCAAGAACAAAAUCUUGAGACAAAGGGAAGAAAAUGGAAAAAAGAAUAGAUUAGGAAGCGGUCCAGUUGCCUCAUCUACACCUAUGACAAGAGUUUACGACUUUUCAGAUGGAGAAGAUGACGGUCAGGACUUACUGAGAAGAGCCUCAAGCUGUAAGAAACAAGCUGCAAUUCAAGCUGAGACUCCUCGUAUGAGA